Molecule: ribosomal RNA, 402 nt
Filed under: Verrucomicrobiota bacterium
Lineage: Bacteria; Pseudomonadati; Verrucomicrobiota
Description: Verrucomicrobia bacterium partial 16S ribosomal RNA
Rfam family: Bacterial small subunit ribosomal RNA
Source: RNAcentral
UGGGGAAUUUUGCACAAUGGGGGAAACCCUGAUGCAGCGACGCCGCGUGAUUUAGAAGGCCUUCGUGUUGUAAAAAUCUUUUGUAUGGGAAGAAAAUGACAGUACCAUACGAAUAAGGACCGGCUAAUUACGUGCCAGCAGCCGCGGUAAUACGUAAGGUCCGAGCGUUGUCCGGAAUCAUUGGGCGUAAAGGGUACGUAGGCGGAUAAGCAAGUUAGAAGUGAAAUCCUAUAGCUCAACUAUAGUAAGCUUUUAAAACUGCUCAUCUUGAGGUAUGGAAGGGAAAGUGGAAUUCCUAGUGUAGCGGUGAAAUGCGCAGAUAUUAGGAGGAAUACCGGUGGCGAAGGCGACUUUCUGGCCAUAAACUGACGCUGAGGUACGAAAGCGUGGGUAGCAAACAGG